GUAUCUAAAGAUUGUGUCAGCCAAGUAUCCAAGGAGUGUUCAACUACAGUAAUCUCAUCGAUGUCAGAUUUUUGGGAUCCCUGACCGACGGACACCCAUACAGAUAGAAAAAGACAUCCAUCCAACGUGAAAAAAAAAAAAAAAAACGUGUUAAAGAGGAGUCUCAUCAUUUUCUUGGCAUCCAUGAAAGCUUGAGUGCAUCAGCAGCAGCUGUUCAAGGCGUGCUAAAAAACUUCCACUCGAGUUCAGUGAACGAAGUUUGCAAUGGAUUUUCUGUCUCUAUUCAUUGUGGCAUUGAUGCCAAUUCUGGAGACACUCAUAGUUACGGGUGUUGGUCUUUUUCUUGGAAUGGAGCGUAUAAAUCUCUUGGGGGCAAUUUCCAGGCAGUCUUUGAAUAAACUAGUAUUUUUUGUGUUCACUCCUUCACUGAUCGUCGCCGACCUGGCGGAUACAAUUACAUUAGACAGCUUGGGAACCUUAUGGUUCAUGCUAGUGAAUGUCCUUAUCACAUUCCUUAUUGGUUCUGCACUUGCAUGGAUACUCAUAAAAAUCACAAGAGCUCCUCAACAUCUGCAAAGCCUCGUCAUUGGUUGUUGUGCUGCAGGAAAUUUAGGGAACUUGCUCCUGAUUAUCCUCCCAGCUGUCUGCGAGGAAGAUGACAGUCCGUUUGGAGAUUCUUCUGUUUGCUCUACUGAUGCAGAGGCUUAUGCUGCUCUUUCUAUGGCGUUAGGUGCAAUAUAUAUAUGGUCUUAUGUGUAUCCUAUCAUGCGGAUAUAUGCAAACAAGGCAACUAAAGACAUUGCCACGGAUGGCUGUACGACAAGGGAUAACAUUUCUGGAGAAACCUUGUGUUUACAUUCAGAGAUUGGCACAGCACUGCUCCUUCCUUCAGAGGGUUGCCCAAGCUCAGAGGAGUGUAUGUAUCAAGUUGAAGUCCAUUCAACUGGAUCUGAAGGAAAAGUAAAGGUGAUGUUUCUGGAAAACACUAUGCUGCACCUUAAGAAGCUUAUUGGGCAUGUGGAUCUCCAAAAAUUGUUUGCGCCGUCUACAAUUGCAGCAAUUUUUGGUUUUAUCAUUGGAAUAGUCUCUCCAAUUCGAAAGGUACUGAUUGGUGAUGAUGCUCCUCUUCGCGCCAUCUACAGCUCUGGGAGUUUGUUAGGGGAAGCAACAAUACCAUCUAUGACGCUGAUAAUUGGAGCAAACCUUCUUAGAGGUCUAAAAGGUGCCGGAGUAGGUCCUGCACUCAUUGUAGGGAUUAUCGCAAUUCGGUACAUCAUCAUGCCUUCACUGGGUAUUGGUAUUGUUAAGGCUGCAAACCAUUUUGGCAUUGUGGGAUCAGAUGCAUUAUAUCAGUUUACACUCAUGCUUCAGUAUGCUCUUCCACCUGCGAUGAAUGUAGCUUGAGCACCUUAGCACUCAAGUCGACUUGGCUCGACUUUUCUACAAACAUACAGUUUGGAUUCUGAAAUGGAAAGUACCAUUUCUCAAUUGCUGGAGACAGGAGAGAGUGAAUGCUCUGUCAUUAUGCUAUGGACUUAUGCUGUGGCAACAUUUUCUCUGACACUAUGGUCGACCAUCUUCAUGUGGCUUGUUUCUUAAUCUGGAUUACUUGAUUCGUUUGAUGGCUCUGAAAUCAUUUUUUAUCAUUUCUGUAUCAGCAAAAAUUAGGAAAGAAAAAAAAAAGAAGUUGCUAGAUGCUACAUCUUUAUCUCGGUCCUAUCAGUAUCUAUUGUGUUGGUGUAAUAUAUCUAUAUCAGUAUCUAUUGUGUUGGUGUAAUAUUAUCUAUUGUGUUCAUGGACAA
Molecule: RNA transcript, 1802 nt
Organism: Carya illinoinensis
Lineage: Eukaryota; Viridiplantae; Streptophyta; Magnoliopsida; Fagales; Juglandaceae
Gene name: protein PIN-LIKES 3-like
Exons: 12
Source: RefSeq, a predicted model, not a curated record